This 387-nucleotide unclassified non-coding RNA is filed under the name fungal sp. RNAcentral's name for it is "partial internal transcribed spacer region". The stretch from base 1 to 46 matches the Rfam family "Eukaryotic small subunit ribosomal RNA", at positions 1786 to 1831 of the family's 1831-position model. The record is from RNAcentral. RNAcentral also lists the same sequence under 1 other name. Lineage: Eukaryota; Fungi.
AAGUCGUAACAAGGUCUCCGUAGGUGAACCUGCGGAGGGAUCAUUAACACGUUUUAAAACACGUUUUAACACCAACCAACCACGUGAACUAUUUCAUUCCCUGACCUGGGAGUGAGAGAAUCUGUCUCCACGCACUAAUGAUGAGCUCUCGCAAGGGAGCGGUGUGUUUAGACUGGCAUUGCAGUUCCGCAAGGAGCUGACUCUACAAGACCUCUCUCUUUCAGGCUUUAAACCAAUGUUCCUCUCAUCACUGGAGCGAAAAACACCCCUUUCACCUUUCUAUAACUAUUGACUGAUCUUUCUUUGUUGUUACAGCAAUGUAAUAAUACACAGAAAACUUAAUCAAAUAUCUAAGCACAACUCUUAGCAACGGAUAUCUUGGUUCUC